AUGAACGCUGGCGGCGUGCUUAACACAUGCAAGUCGAACGAUGAAGCCCAGCUUGCUGGGUGGAUUAGUGGCGAACGGGUGAGUAACACGUGAGUAACCUGCCCUUGACUCUGGGAUAAGCCUGGGAAACUGGGUCUAAUACUGGAUAUGACUUCUCAUCGCAUGGUGGGGGGUGGAAAGAUUUAUUGGUCUUGGAUGGACUCGCGGCCUAUCAGCUUGUUGGUGAGGUAAUGGCUCACCAAGGCGACGACGGGUAGCCGGCCUGAGAGGGUGACCGGCCACACUGGGACUGAGGCACGGCCCAGACUCCUACGGGAGGCAGCAGUGGGGAAUAUUGCACAAUGGGCGCAAGCCUGAUGCAGCGACGCCGCGUGAGGGAUGACGGCCUUCGGGUUGUAAACCUCUUUCAGUAGGGAAGAAGCGAGAGUGACGGUACCUGCAGAAGAAGCGCCGGCUAACUACGUG
Molecule: ribosomal RNA, 465 nt
Filed under: uncultured bacterium
Lineage: Bacteria
Description: partial 16S ribosomal RNA
Rfam family: Bacterial small subunit ribosomal RNA
Source: RNAcentral